This 625-nucleotide ribosomal RNA is filed under the name Lactobacillus gasseri. RNAcentral describes it as "bacterial SSU rRNA". It matches the Rfam family "Bacterial small subunit ribosomal RNA", at positions 371 to 987 of the family's 1533-position model. The record is from RNAcentral. Lineage: Bacteria; Bacillati; Bacillota; Bacilli; Lactobacillales; Lactobacillaceae.
AUGGACGCAAGUCUGAUGGAGCAACGCCGCGUGAGUGAAGAAGGGUUUCGGCUCGUAAAGCUCUGUUGGUAGUGAAGAAAGAUAGAGGUAGUAACUGGCCUUUAUUUGACGGUAAUUACUUAGAAAGUCACGGCUAACUACGUGCCAGCAGCCGCGGUAAUACGUAGGUGGCAAGCGUUGUCCGGAUUUAUUGGGCGUAAAGCGAGUGCAGGCGGUUCAAUAAGUCUGAUGUGAAAGCCUUCGGCUCAACCGGAGAAUUGCAUCAGAAACUGUUGAACUUGAGUGCAGAAGAGGAGAGUGGAACUCCAUGUGUAGCGGUGGAAUGCGUAGAUAUAUGGAAGAACACCAGUGGCGAAGGCGGCUCUCUGGUCUGCAACUGACGCUGAGGCUCGAAAGCAUGGGUAGCGAACAGGAUUAGAUACCCUGGUAGUCCAUGCCGUAAACGAUGAGUGCUAAGUGUUGGGAGGUUUCCGCCUCUCAGUGCUGCAGCUAACGCAUUAAGCACUCCGCCUGGGGAGUACGACCGCAAGGUUGAAACUCAAAGGAAUUGACGGGGGCCCGCACAAGCGGUGGAGCAUGUGGUUUAAUUCGAAGCAACGCGAAGAACCUUACCAGGUCUUGACAU